UGCUGAGGAGUCCCACAAUAGGACGAAACGGCCGUCCAGUGC
Non-coding RNA from Schistosoma haematobium, 42 nucleotides. The record is from Rfam. Lineage: Eukaryota; Metazoa; Platyhelminthes; Trematoda; Strigeidida; Schistosomatidae.